AGGAUCAUCAAAAUGAGAUUCGUCAAGAUGAUCAAAAUCAUCAGGAAUAUCCAUAUCUUGACGAGAUUCAGAAUCUGACGAAUCGAUUUCAUCAAAUAUCGAACCCCUUAAGGUAUCAUCGCCUGUGUCUUUAGUGUCUUUAGAAUCCUUAUUAGUGUCCUUAUUGAGUUCUUCAUUUGUUAUUUUGUUGUGUUGUUGCUUAUGGCUGUGUGGUGUUAUCAUCUCCUUCAAAUUAAGACUAAAAGUUUUGUUCAAGCUCUUAGAUUCUUUAUGCUCCCUAUGAUCCAUUGAGAAAUUGCUAUGUGUUCUUGCUCUUCUUCCUGUUUCCCUAAAAUUACUAUUAUUAUUAUCCUCUUUUCCACUUUCCUUACCAGAAAGUUUAUCAAUAUCCUCAUUUUUCAAAUCCUUUAUUGAUGAUUCAGAGAGCAUGCGUUUCAACUCUUUGAUAUUCUCAAACGAUGCAACUUCAUGGAUUUUCAGCAUCUCGUUCUCAUGAACAAGUAAGUUAAUACUAUCUUGUAAUCUAGCAUUUUCAGCCUUUGCAAUCUCUGCACCUUCUUUUGCAACAUUAGCUUCAUUCAAUGCUUGUUUAAGAAUAUCGCGCAACUUUUGAUUUUCUUCCUUUGAAACUUUCACCUUAUUUUCUACCUCUUUUAGAGCCUCAAGUGCCUCUGUGGAUUCAUGUUUUGCAUGUAGCCUUUCCUCUUCAGCUCUUUUGAUGCAAUUCACAAGCUCAAUUUCUU
This 743-nucleotide long non-coding RNA is filed under the name Phaseolus vulgaris (common bean). Its description in RNAcentral is "long non-coding RNA (PVUL_LNC005281)". The record is from RNAcentral. Lineage: Eukaryota; Viridiplantae; Streptophyta; Magnoliopsida; Fabales; Fabaceae.